GAUGAACGCUGGCGGCGUGCCUAAUACAUGCAAGUCGAGCGCACGGACGAGAAGCUUGCUUCUCUGAUGUUAGCGGCGGACGGGUGAGUAACACGUGGAUAACCUACCUAUAAGACUGGGAUAACUUCGGGAAACCGGAGCUAAUACCGGAUAAUAUUUUGAACCGCAUGGUUCAAAAGUGAAAGACGGUCUUGCUGUCACUUAUAGAUGGAUCCGCGCUGCAUUAGCUAGUUGGUAAGGUAACGGCUUACCAAGGCAACGAUGCAUAGCCGACCUGAGAGGGGGAUCGGCCACACUGGACCUGGGACCCGGUCCAGACUCCUACGGGAGGCGGAAGAAGGGAAUCUUGCGCAAUGGGCGAAAGCCUGACGGAGCAACCCCGCGUGGUUGAUGAGGGUCUUCGGAUCGAAAAACUCUGUUAUUAGGGAGGAACAUAUGUGUAGGUGACUGUGCACACCUUGACGGUACCUAAUCAGAAAGCCACGGCUAACUACGUG
This 497-nucleotide ribosomal RNA is filed under the name uncultured bacterium. RNAcentral describes it as "partial 16S ribosomal RNA". It matches the Rfam family "Bacterial small subunit ribosomal RNA", at positions 28 to 507 of the family's 1533-position model. The record is from RNAcentral.